GCUGGUAAACCUUUAAAUGAAGAUCCAUUGGAUCUUCAAGAUUGCCAUCUUGUUUCUUUUGGUGGAAAUGACAAUCAACAGACUCAAAAUCGUGAGCAGCAACAACAAAAUUUUGGUGGUUCUGGGCAGCAACAGCCUUCUCCAAGAGAAGAGAUCCACGAACAGGAACUGAAUCACCACCAAGUUCUGGACGUGAUUGAAGAGCAG
This is a long non-coding RNA of Selaginella moellendorffii, 207 nucleotides long. RefSeq lists it as uncharacterized. The record is from RefSeq and is a predicted model, not a curated record. NCBI's taxonomy places the organism in Eukaryota, Viridiplantae, Streptophyta, Lycopodiopsida, Selaginellales, Selaginellaceae. The transcript is spliced from 3 exons.